Molecule: ribosomal RNA, 1415 nt
Filed under: metagenome
Description: bacterial LSU rRNA
Rfam family: Bacterial large subunit ribosomal RNA
Source: RNAcentral
UCUUAAAAGAUGCAAGGGACACAGAUAUGGAAGAUAAGCGAGGAAGGGGAAAGACUCGUAUCGAAAGAUAUAGUGAAAAAUAAGUAACGAAUUAUCAAGAAGUAGCUGGCGAGAAAAGCUUGUAGAAAUUGUAUAGAGGUGCCCGUACCGCAAACCGACACAGGUAGAUGAGGAGAGGAUCCUAAGAUGAGCGAGAGAAGCAUUGUUAAGGAACUCGGCAAAUUGACCCCGUAACUUAGGGAGAAGGGGUACCAUAGUAAAAUAUGGUCGCAGAGAAGAGGCCCAAGCAACUGUUUAACAAAAACACAGGUUUCUGCUAAAUCGAAAGAUGAAGUAUAGGAGCUGACGCCUGCCCAGUGCUGGAAGGUUAAGGGGAAAUGUAAGAGUAAUCGAAGCAUAGAACCAAAGCCCCAGUGAACGGCGGCCGUAACUAUAACGGUCCUAAGGUAGCGAAAUUCCUUGUCAGGUAAGUUCUGACCCGCACGAAAGGCGUAAUGAUUUGGGCGCUGUCUCGACAAUGUACUCGGCGAAAUUGUAGUACUAGUGAAGAUGCUAGUUACCCGCGACAAGACAGAAAGACCCCAUGGAGCUUUACUGUAGCUUGAUACUGGGUUUUGAUAAUUUAUGUACAGGAUAGGUGGGAGACUGAGAAGUAAGUGCGCCAGCGCUUAUGGAGUCAAUGUUGGGAUACCACCCUUAAAUUAUUGAAAUUCUAACCUGUGGUCGUAAACCGGCCAGGGGACAAUGUCAGGCGGGCAGUUUGACUGGGGCGGUCGCCUCCAAAAGAGUAACGGAGGCGCGCAAAGGUUUCCUCAGCGCGGACAGAAAUCGCGCGAAAGAGUGCAAAGGCAGAAGGAAGCUUAACUGAGAGACUGACAAGUCGACCAGAUACGAAAGUAGGUCUUAGUGAUCCGGCGGUAGUGAGUGGAAAUGCCGUCGCUCAACGGACAAAAGUUACCCUGGGGAUAACAGGCUUAUCUCCCCCAAGAGUUCACAUCGACGGGGAGGUUUGGCACCUCGAUGUCGGCUCAUCACAUCCUGGAGCGGAAGUACGUUCCAAGGGUUGGGCUGUUCGCCCAUUAAAGUGGUACGCGAGCUGGGUUCAGAACGUCGUGAGACAGUUCGGUCCUUAUCUGUCGUAGGCGCAGGAUAUUUGAGGGGAGUUGACCUUAGUACGAGAGGACCAGGUUGAACUUACCAAUGGUGCAUCAGUUGUCACACCAGUGGCACAGCUGAGUAGCUAAGUAGGGAAGGGAUAAACGCUGAAAGCAUCUAAGUGUGAAGCCCACCCCAAGAUAAGAUAUCCCAUACCGUAAGGUAGUAAGAUUCCACGUAGACUAUGUGGUUGAUAGGUUGGAGGUGUAAGUGCAGUAAUGUAUUAAGCUGACCAAUACUAAUAAAUCGAGGGCUUAACC